Molecule: ribosomal RNA, 439 nt
Filed under: uncultured bacterium
Lineage: Bacteria
Description: partial 16S ribosomal RNA
Rfam family: Bacterial small subunit ribosomal RNA
Source: RNAcentral
CUACGGGACGCACCAGUGAGGAAUAUUGCACAAUGGGGGGAACCCUGAUGCAGCAACGCCGCGUGGAGGAUGACGCAUUUCGGUGUGUAAACUCCUUUUAUAUGUCAAGAAAAUGACGGUAGCAUAUGAAUAAGCACCGGCUAACUCCGUGCCAGCAGCCGCGGUAAUACGGAGGGUGCAAGCGUUACUCGGAAUCACUGGGCGUAAAGGACGCGUAGGCGGGUUGGAAAGUCAGGUGUGAAGUCCUACAGCUUAACUGUAGAACUGCACUUGAAACUUCUAAUCUAGAGUAUGGGAGGGGGUGAUGGAAUUAGUGGUGUAGGGGUAAAAUCCGUAGAUAUCACUAGGAAUACCUAAAGCGAAGGCGAUCUCCUGGAACAUUACUGACGCUAAGGCGUGAAAGCGUGGGGAGCAAACAGGAUUAGAUACCCCCGUAGUC